GCAUUAUCUUUCAGUACACGAAAACCAACUAACCAAAGUAAUGUUUUGGGGAUGGUACCAGGCGCACACUACUAUAGAAAUGGGCAUCGCCGCAACACUGUCACUGCCAUUUUUUACAUAAUCGGUGGCGAAAGAAUUUCAGCGCCAGUUCUAUGGCCAUGGAUGUGCAAUGGCCACCCUGUGGUGACUAGUGUUUUCACUAUCAGCUUAGUGUUUUAUCUGGCGGAGAUAACCGGGGUGGGUUUGGCUACCGGACCAAUACACCUAGGCCUUGUUUAGUUCACCUCAAAAUUCCAAAAUUAUUCAAGAUUUUUAUCACAUCGAAUCUUUGGACGUAUAUAUGGAGC
This 347-nucleotide long non-coding RNA is filed under the name Sorghum bicolor (sorghum). Its description in RNAcentral is "long non-coding RNA (SBIC_LNC015000)". Lineage: Eukaryota; Viridiplantae; Streptophyta; Magnoliopsida; Poales; Poaceae. The record is from RNAcentral.